This is a non-coding RNA of Orcinus orca (killer whale), 72 nucleotides long. The record is from the annotation of a RefSeq genome assembly. NCBI's taxonomy places the organism in Eukaryota, Metazoa, Chordata, Mammalia, Artiodactyla, Delphinidae.
UCCCUGGUGGUCCAGGGGUUAAGACUCAGCACUUGCACUGCCAUGGCCCAGGUUCAAACCCUGGUCAGGGAA